This 606-nucleotide ribosomal RNA is filed under the name uncultured bacterium. RNAcentral describes it as "bacterial SSU rRNA". It matches the Rfam family "Bacterial small subunit ribosomal RNA", at positions 331 to 929 of the family's 1533-position model. The record is from RNAcentral.
CCAGACUCCUACGGGAGGCAGCAGUAGGGAAUCUUCGGCAAUGGACGAAAGUCUGACCGAGCAACGCCGCGUGAGUGAAGAAGGUUUUCGGAUCGUAAAACUCUGUUGGUAGAGAAGAACGUUGGUGAGAGUGGAAAGCUCAUCAAGUGACGGUAACUACCCAGAAAGGGACGGCUAACUACGUGCCAGCGGCCGCGGUAAUACGUAGGUCCCGAGCGUUGUCCGGAUUUAUUGGGCGUAAAGCGAGCGCAGGUGGUUUAUUAAGUCUGGUGUAAAAGGCAGUGGCUCAACCAUUGUAUGCAUUGGAAACUGGUAGACUUGAGUGCAGGAGAGGAGAGUGGAAUUCCAUGUGUAGCGGUGAAAUGCGUAGAUAUAUGGAGGAACACCGGUGGCGAAAGCGGCUCUCUGGCCUGUAACUGACACUGAGGCUCGAAAGCGUGGGGAGCAAACAGGAUUAGAUACCCUGGUAGUCCACGCCGUAAACGAUGAGUGCUAGAUGUAGGGAGCUAUAAGUUCUCUGUAUCGCAGCUAACGCAAUAAGCACUCCGCCUGGGGAGUACGACCGCAAGGUUGAAACUCAAAGGAAUUGACGGGGGCCCGCACAAG